AGGGGUGUAGCUCAACGCUUGAGCACUUGCCUAGCAUGCAUAAGGUCCUGGGUUCAAUCCCUAGCACCACAC
Molecule: transfer RNA, 72 nt
Filed under: Heterocephalus glaber (naked mole-rat)
Lineage: Eukaryota; Metazoa; Chordata; Mammalia; Rodentia; Bathyergidae
Rfam family: tRNA
About the family: Transfer RNA (tRNA) molecules are approximately 80 nucleotides in length. Their secondary structure includes four short double-helical elements and three loops (D, anti-codon, and T loops).
Source: Rfam by way of RNAcentral